RNAcentral lists this ribosomal RNA (372 nucleotides) under uncultured bacterium. Its description in RNAcentral is "bacterial SSU rRNA". It matches the Rfam family "Bacterial small subunit ribosomal RNA", at positions 524 to 898 of the family's 1533-position model. The record is from RNAcentral.
UACGUAGGGGGCAAGCGUUGUCCGGAAUAAUUGGGCGUAAAGGGCGCGUAGGCGGCUCGGUAAGUCUGGAGUGAAAGUCCUGCUUUUAAGGUGGGAAUUGCUUUGGAUACUGUCGGGCUUGAGUGCAGGAGAGGUUAGUGGAAUUCCCAGUGUAGCGGUGAAAUGCGUAGAGAUUGGGAGGAACACCAGUGGCGAAGGCGACUAACUGGACUGUAACUGACGCUGAGGCGCGAAAGUGUGGGGAGCAAACAGGAUUAGAGACCCUGGUAGUCCACACUGUAAACGAUGAUAACUAGCUGUCGGCGAUAGACCGUCGGUGGCCAAGCGAAAGCGAUAAGUUAUCCACCUGGGGAGUACGACCGCAAGGUUGAA